GAAUGCUGCUCAAAAUGGGAGGUAAAUCUCUUCUAAAGCUAAAUAUUGGCCAGAGACCGAUAGCGCACAAGUAGAGUGAUCGAAAGAUGAAAAGCACCUUGAAAAGGGGGUUAAACAGUACGUGAAAUUGUUGAAAGGGAAGCGCUCAUGACCAGACUUGUGCUGGGCAGCUCAUCCGGGGUUCUCCCCGGUGCAUUCUGCCCAGUUCAGGCCAGCAUCGAUUUUUGCUGGGGGAUAAGAACGGUAGGAACGUGGCCCUCCUUCGGGAGGGUGUUAUAGCCUACCGUACGAUACCCUAGCGGAGAUCGAGGUUCGCGCAUCUGCAAGGAUGCUGGCGUAAUGGUCAUCAGCGACCCGUCUUGAAACACGGACCAAGGAGUCGUCCAUUAGAGCGAGCGUUUGGGUGUAAAACCCGCACGCGUAAUGAAAGUGAAAUUAGGUGAGAGCUUCGGCGCAUCAUCGACCGAUCCUGAUGUUCUCGGAUGGAUUUGAGUAAGAGUUUUAACGGACGGACCCGAAAGACAGUGAACUAUGCUUGUAUAGGGUGAAGCCAGAGGAAACUCUGGUGGAGGCUCGCAGCGGUUCUGACGUGCAAAUCGAUCGUCAAAUAUGAGCAUGGGGGCGAAAGACUAAUCGAACUGUCUAGUAGCUGGUUACCGCCGAAGUUUCCCUCAGGAUAGCAGUGUUGACCUUCAGUUUUAUGAGGUAAAGCGAAUGAUUAGGGACUCGGGGGCGCUUUUUAGCCUUCAUCCAUUCUCAAACUUUAAAUAUGUAAGAAGCCCUUGUUACUUAGUUGAACGUGGGCAUUCGAAUGUAUCAACACUAGUGGGCCAUUUUUGGUAAGCAGAACUGGCGAUGCGGGAUGAACCGAACGCGGGGUUAAGGCGCCAGAGUGUACGCUCAUCAGACACCACAAAAGGCGUUAGU
This 927-nucleotide ribosomal RNA is filed under the name Coniella vitis. RNAcentral describes it as "eukaryotic LSU rRNA". It matches the Rfam family "Eukaryotic large subunit ribosomal RNA", at positions 278 to 1228 of the family's 3401-position model. The record is from RNAcentral. Lineage: Eukaryota; Fungi; Ascomycota; Sordariomycetes; Diaporthales; Schizoparmaceae.